GCCAAACAACUAGCUUAAUUACUUCUUAAACUAAUAAUAUAAAUAAAACAAAAUAACAUACAAACCAAAAAUAAACCAUUUUUUUACCUGAGUAUGGGUGACAGAAAAGGCCCUAAUAAAGCAAUAGAAAUAGUACCGCAAGGGAAAGUUGAAAGAGAAAUGAAAUAAACCAUACAAGCACCAAAAAGCAAAGACUAAACCUUGUACCUUUUGCAUCAUGAUUUAGCCAGUACACCCAAGCAAAGAGACCUUUAGUUUGAAGCCCCGAAACCAGGUGAGCUACCCCGAGACAGCCUAUUAAGGGCCAACCCGUCUCUGUGGCAAAAGAGUGAGAAGAGCUCCGGGUAGAGGUGACAGACCUACCGAACCUGGUGAUAGCUGGUUGCCUAAGAAAUGAAUAAAAGUUCAGCCUCAUCAACCUCAAAUCAAAAAUAACAAACAAGAUCAAACGAGAAACACAUGAGAGUUAGUUAAAGGGGGUACAGCCCCUCUAACUAAGGACACAACCUUUUCAGGAGGAUAAAAAUCAUAAUACACAAAAUACACUGUUCUAGUGGGCCUAAAAGCAGCCACCUAAACAGAAAGCGUUAAAGCUCAGACAGAAACAAAUUUAUUAUCCCGAUAACAAAUCUCAAUCCCCUAACACUAUUAGGCCAACCCAUGCCCGCAUGGAAGAGAUUAUGCUAAAAUGAGUAACAAGAAGGCCCGCCCUUCUCCCUAGCACAAGUGUAAGCCAAACCGGACAAACCAUUGGCAACUAACGAACUCAAUAAAAGAGAGAAAUGUGAAUUAUAAAUAUAGACCAAGAAAUACCCACAAUAUCAACAUCGUUACCCCCACACUGGAGUGCUAUUUUUAAAGGAAAGACUAAAAGAAGAGGAAGGAACUCGGCAAACAAAAGCCUCGCCUGUUUACCAAAAACAUCGCCUCCUGCAAUAUAAAUAAGUAUAGGAGGUCCAGCCUGCCCAGUGACCACAAGUUUAACGGCCGCGGUAUUUUGACCGUGCAAAGGUAGCGCAAUCACUUGUCUUUUAAAUAAAGACCCGUAUGAAUGGUUAAACGAGGGCUUAGCUGUCUCCCACUUCCAGUCAGUGAAAUUGAUCUACCCGUGCAGAAGCGGGUAUAAUUAUACAAGACGAGAAGACCCUUUGGAGCUUAAGGUACAAAACUCAAUCACGUCAAACAACUCAAUAAAAAGCAACUUUUAACUCUUAAACUUUGUGACAAAUGAGACCAUACCUUCGGUUGGGGCGACCAAGGAGGAAAAAAAAGCCUCCAAGUGGACUGGGCAUAUACCCUAAAACCAAGAGAGACAUCUCUAAGCCACAGAACAUCUGACCAUAAAUGAUCCGGUCGACUAAGACCGAUCAACGAACCAAGUUACCCUAGGGAUAACAGCGCAAUCCUCUCCCAGAGUCCAUAUCGACGAGGGGGUUUACGACCUCGAUGUUGGAUCAGGACAUCCUAAUGGUGCAGCCGCUAUUAAGGGUUCGUUUGUUCAACGAUUAAAGUCCUACGUGAUCUGAGUUCAGACCGGAGCAAUCCAGGUCAGUUUCUAUCUGUAACGCUACUUUUCCUAGUACGAAAGGAUCGGAAAAGAGGGGCCAAUGCUCAAAGCACGCCCCCCCCCUAAUUUAUGAAAACAAAUAAAUAUAAACAAAGGGAGGGCCAAAACCCAGCCCGCCAAAAUAAGGACUU
This 1698-nucleotide ribosomal RNA is filed under the name Dawkinsia tambraparniei. RNAcentral describes it as "16S rRNA". It matches the Rfam family "Bacterial large subunit ribosomal RNA". The record is from RNAcentral. Lineage: Eukaryota; Metazoa; Chordata; Actinopteri; Cypriniformes; Cyprinidae.